UUCUAAAAGAAAUCUUGUGAUAGUUUUGGCGGAAAAAACUUGUUUCAAGCUACUUAUUAGUUACUUAUUUGAUAUUCGUAUAAAAUCGAUUCACAUACAUAUAAGCCUGUACGUCCGGCAUACUCGUACAUACAAAAAAUAAUCCUCACCAGAUGCAAUAUUCUUAUGUCAACUUUUCUAGACCUCGAAACACUUUUCAUAAGCACUUUUUGGAAUGACCUUACGCGAAUUUUGUUGUAUCACUUCGAUGGACUGAAAACGGAUUAAACGGAGCGGCAAUUCAGGUUGGGAAACAAAAAAAAUCACACGGAGACAAAUAUGGUGAACACGGUGGUUGAUCGAUGGCAUUCAAAACGGGUUUAAAUUGGUCACAAAAUUAAGCUUUAUCGGGACGAGUCGAGCUAGAACGCAUUUCAUACCCAAAAUAUCCACUAAAUCAUUUGAAUGGACUCGCGAGAGAUGUCGAACUCUCUUGCCAUCUCUUUAACAUUUGCAUGACGAUUUUCAAGCACCAUAUCCUUCACUUUUUUAAUAUAUUCAUUAGCGUAAGCUUUUUCCAAUAUUCGCAAUGCUUUCGCACAAGAAACUUUGUUAUAAAUAAAAAAUUUUAGACAAA
Long non-coding RNA from Bactrocera dorsalis (oriental fruit fly), 616 nucleotides. RefSeq lists it as uncharacterized. The transcript has 2 exons. The record is from RefSeq and is a predicted model, not a curated record. NCBI's taxonomy places the organism in Eukaryota, Metazoa, Arthropoda, Insecta, Diptera, Tephritidae.